GAACGCUGGCGGCGUGCUUAACACAUGCAAGUCGCGCGUGAAAGGACUUCGGUCCGAGUAAAGCGGCGCACGGGUGAGUAACGCGUGGAUGAUCUACCCAUGAGUUGGGAAUAACGGCUGGAAACGGUCGCUAAUACCGAAUACGCUCCGAUUUCAACUUCGGGGGAAAGGUGGCCUCUGCUUGCAAGCUACUGCUCAUGGAUGAGUCCGCGUCCCAUUAGCUAGUUGGUGGGGUAACGGCCCACCAAGGCGACGAUGGGUAGCCGGUCUGAGAGGAUGACCGGCCACACUGGGACUGGAACACGGCCCAGACUCCUACGGGAGGCAGCAGUGGGGAAUAUUGCGCAAUGGGCGAAAGCCUGACGCAGCGACGCCGCGUGAGGGAUGAAGGUCCUCGGAUCGUAAACCUCUGUCAGGAGGGAAGAACCGCCACGGUGCUAAUCAGCCGUGGUCUGACGGUACCUCCAAAGGAAGCACCGGCUAACUCCGUGCCAGCAGCCGC
This 502-nucleotide ribosomal RNA is filed under the name uncultured bacterium. Its description in RNAcentral is "bacterial SSU rRNA". It matches the Rfam family "Bacterial small subunit ribosomal RNA", at positions 31 to 518 of the family's 1533-position model. The record is from RNAcentral.